GAGCUUGCUCGGGUGGACAGUGGCAGGCGGCUUAGUAACGCGUGGGUAUCUACCUAGAGGUUUGGAACAACUAUUGGAAACGAUAGCUAAUACCAAAUAUUCCCUAAGGGGGAAAGAUUUAUCGCCUUUAGAUGAGCCCGCGUCGGAUUAGCUUGUUGGUAGGGUAAAGGCCUACCAAGGCAACGAUCCGUAGCUGGUCUGAGAGGAUGAUCAGCAAGAUUGGGACUGAGACACGGCCCAGACUCCUACGGGAGGCAGCAGUGGGGAAUAUUGCGCAAUGGGGGAAACCCUGACGCAGCGAUGCCGCGUGAGUGAAGAAGGCCUUAGGGUUGUAAAACUCUUUCACCGGUGAAGAUAAUGACGGUAGCCGGAGAAGAAGCCCCGGCUAACUCCGUGCCAGCAGCCGCGGUAAUACGGAGGGGGCUAACGUUGUUCGGAAUUACUGGGCGUAAAGCGCGCGUAGGCGGAUUAGACAGUUGAGGGUGAAA
This 488-nucleotide ribosomal RNA is filed under the name uncultured Alphaproteobacteria bacterium. Its description in RNAcentral is "bacterial SSU rRNA". It matches the Rfam family "Bacterial small subunit ribosomal RNA", at positions 76 to 599 of the family's 1533-position model. The record is from RNAcentral. Lineage: Bacteria; Pseudomonadati; Pseudomonadota; Alphaproteobacteria.